UGGGUGCAAUAUAAAAGUGAUUGUUGAACACAUGAGACACAAUACACGUGCAAAUCAAACACACGCAUUCUCCGUCACUCUCCCGCUCAUUCACACCAAAUCCACAUCUCACUCAAUCCAGAAAAUCUCACCUGCUAAUUCUCCCACGCCACUUUCUGUUCUAAUUGUGAAUUCUCCCUCACGGUGCCUCUAACCAAAAAUCUUACAAAAAAUGAGUAUGUUUGAAAUAAAAAUGUAUUUCUAGAACUAACUGGAUAAUCGGAUAAAAUAGUACCUUUGUGAAAACUAGCAAGAGUUUUCCUCUCAGAUUCAUUCUGAAGCUGUAGCUCAGUUGUGUUUGUGUUUCUAUUAAAGCUGUUACUAGUGAUGAUAAUGUUCGGAAAAUUUAUGGAAUUUAAAGUAAUGGAACAGAGAAUAUGUAAGAGCUUUUGUGGCUGCAAAAACUUUUAAAAUAAAACUUACAAUUUAAAGGGUUACAGAUGUGGUAUUCAUACAUUAUUGGCCACAAUCUUGUUAACUUGAUGGGUCUACCGUUCCUUGCAUUCAGAAGAGCCAAACCCUCAAGAGUUGUAACAUGUAUCCACCUCAUCCGCUUCAAACUUGAAAUGCCAAACUACACUUGUCUGUGCAGCAAUCUCUUGGAAUUGUCUUUAAUUUCAUUCUUAUGCAGAAUUUUUUUUUUUUUUUCACAAUCCAGAUUAUUAUUUUUAAAUUUCAAUAUUUUUUUAUUCUUUUUUUCUCACCAGCUGCGAAGAGACCCACGGCGAGAGAGAGGGAGAGAGAGAGAGAGUAAACGGAGACCAGAGAGAGAGCGGAUGGAGAAACAGAAAAAGAGACUGUCGACGGAGAGAGUACAAAGCGGUGAGAUUUGCGUGAGAGAGGUUGCACGCGUGUUGUGGUGCUUAUGUGUGUGUCAUGUGAGAUGGGGCUACGGAGACAUUUUAUGGCGUGCCCAAAACG
Molecule: long non-coding RNA, 960 nt
Filed under: Citrus maxima (pomelo)
Lineage: Eukaryota; Viridiplantae; Streptophyta; Magnoliopsida; Sapindales; Rutaceae
Description: long non-coding RNA (CMAX_LNC002078)
Source: RNAcentral